This 280-nucleotide long non-coding RNA is filed under the name Setaria italica (foxtail millet). RNAcentral describes it as "long non-coding RNA (SITA_LNC004573)". Lineage: Eukaryota; Viridiplantae; Streptophyta; Magnoliopsida; Poales; Poaceae. The record is from RNAcentral.
UGCUUUUUCCAUUACUGAAAUUGUUGGUUCCAUGAUGACCAGACCUGAGUUGCCAUGGAUAAAUUUUAGAUUUGUCCUUUUACUUUAGUCACCAUGACCUGAUGGACUUCCAUCUGCUCUAGCUUCACUACUAAGAAAGCUUUCACUGUGAGUUAUUUGACCUUUUGUUGGUUCUUUGCAGUGACAUUGUUCAUAUGGCAAGUUACCUUUUGUUGGUUCUUUGCAGUGACAUUGUUCAUAUGGCAAGUUACGCUCCACUGUUUGUAAAUGACAACGACAG